GUGAAUCAUCGAAUUUUUGAACGCAAAUUGCACUCUCUGGUAUUCCGGGGAGUAUGCUUGCUUGAGGGUUAGUUUGUUACAAUCGUAAAAAGAAAUUUUUACGGAUCUGAAUUUUCCAAAAUUUAGAUUCUUUGUAAUCUAAAAUUUAUCAUAACAAUAGGUUAUAUUGGAAAUGUUUAUUUUUGAUUCAUUAACAAUUAUUCCCAAAUUUGUUACUUCUUGUUUUUUUCCUAAUUUCUUAAUUAGUUAAAAGUAAUACAUUUUUUCUUUUGAAAUCUAACCUCAAUACAAGUAAUAAUA
Molecule: unclassified non-coding RNA, 300 nt
Filed under: Acaulospora lacunosa
Lineage: Eukaryota; Fungi; Glomeromycota; Glomeromycetes; Diversisporales; Acaulosporaceae
Description: partial contains 5.8S ribosomal RNA and internal transcribed spacer 2
Rfam family: 5.8S ribosomal RNA (bases 1-71)
Source: RNAcentral